CAUGCAAGUCGAGCGGUAAGGCCUCUUCGGAGGUACACGAGCGGCGGACGGCUGAGUAACGCGUAGGAACGUACCCCAAAGUGAGGGAUAAGCACCAGAAAUGGUGUCUAAUACCGCAUGUGAUCUACGGAUUAAAGCUUUAUGCGCUUUGGGAACGGCCUGCGUUUGAUUAGCUAGUUGGUGAGGUAAAAGCUCACCAAGGCGACGAUCAAUAGCUGGUCUGAGAGGAUGAUCAGCCAGACUGGGACUGAGACACGGCCCAGACUCCUACGGGAGGCAGCAGUAGGGAAUUUUCCACAAUGGGCGAAAGCCUGAUGGAGCAACGCCGCGUGCAGGAUGAAGGCCCUUGGGUUGUAAACUGCUUUUAUAUGUGAGGAAUAUGACGGUAGCAUAUGAAUAAGGAUCGGCUAACUCCGUGCCAGCAGCCGCGGUCAUACGGAGGAUCCGAGCGUUAUCCGGAGUGACUGGGCGUAAAGAGUUGCGUAGGGGGUUUGUUAAGCAGAUAGUGAAAUCUCGUGGCUCAACCAUGAGGCUAUUAUUUGAACUGGCAGACUUGAGAGUAUGAGGGGUAGACGGAAUUCCCAGUGUAGGAGUGAAAUCCGUAGAUAUUGGGAGGAACACCGAUGGCGUANGCAGUCUACUGGCAUACUUCUGACCCUGA
RNAcentral lists this ribosomal RNA (661 nucleotides) under uncultured bacterium. RNAcentral describes it as "bacterial SSU rRNA". It matches the Rfam family "Bacterial small subunit ribosomal RNA", at positions 54 to 749 of the family's 1533-position model. The record is from RNAcentral.